RNAcentral lists this ribosomal RNA (375 nucleotides) under uncultured organism. RNAcentral describes it as "partial 16S ribosomal RNA". It matches the Rfam family "Bacterial small subunit ribosomal RNA", at positions 527 to 897 of the family's 1533-position model. The record is from RNAcentral.
GUAGGUGGCAAGCGUUGUCCGGAAUUAUUGGGGCGUAUAGCGCGCGCAGGCGGUUCUCUAAGUCUGAUGUGAAAGCCCACGGGCUCAACCGUGGAGGGUCAUUGGAAACUGGAGAACUUGAGUACAGAAGAGGAAAGCGGAAUUCCACGUGUAGCGGUGAAAUGCGUAGAGAUGUGGAGGAACGCCAGUGGCGAAGGCGGCUUUCUGGUCUGUAACUGACGCUGAGGCGCGAAAGCGUGGGGAGCAAACAGGAUUAGAUACCCUGGUAGUCCACGCCGUAAACGAUGAGUGCUAAGUGUUAGGGGGUUUCCGCCCCUCAGUGCUGCAGCUAACGCAUUAAGCACUCCGCCUGGGGAGUACGGCCGCAAAGGCUGA